GCCUACGGGAGGCAGCAGUGGGGAAUAUUGCACAAUGGGGGAAACCCUGAUGCAGCGACGCCGCGUGAAGGAAGAAGUAUUUCGGUAUGUAAACUUCUAUCAGCAGGGAAGAAAAUGACGGUACCUGACUAAGAAGCCCCGGCUAACUACGUGCCAGCAGCCGCGGUAAUACGGAGGAUGCGAGCGUUAUCCGGAUUUAUUGGGUUUAAAGGGUGCGCAGGCGGAGGCACAAGUCAGCGGUAAAAUCGCGGGGCUCAACCCCGCUCCGCCGUUGAAACUGUGUCCCUUGAGUGCGCGAAGGGUAG
RNAcentral lists this ribosomal RNA (305 nucleotides) under uncultured bacterium. RNAcentral's name for it is "bacterial SSU rRNA". It matches the Rfam family "Bacterial small subunit ribosomal RNA", at positions 337 to 660 of the family's 1533-position model. The record is from RNAcentral.